RNAcentral lists this non-coding RNA (30 nucleotides) under Homo sapiens (human). The record is from RNAcentral. Lineage: Eukaryota; Metazoa; Chordata; Mammalia; Primates; Hominidae.
UUCGGUAAUCUGCAAUUCACGUUGAAUGGU